CAGCCGCCGCGGUAAUACGUAGGUGGCAAGCGUUGUCCGGAAUUAUUGGGCGUAAAUGGCUCGCAGGCGGUUUCUUAAGUCUGAUGUGAAAGCCCCCGGCUCAACCGGGGAGGGUCAUUGGAAACUGGGAAACUUGAGUGCAGAAGAGGAGAGUGGAAUUCCACGUGUAGCGGUGAAAUGCGUAGAGAUGUGGAGGAACACCAGUGGCGAAGGCGACUCUCUGGUCUGUAACUGACGCUGAGGAGCGAAAGCGUGGGGAGCGAACAGGAUUAGAUACCCCAGUAGUCCCUGUCUCUUAUAC
Molecule: ribosomal RNA, 301 nt
Filed under: uncultured bacterium
Lineage: Bacteria
Description: partial 16S ribosomal RNA
Rfam family: Bacterial small subunit ribosomal RNA
Source: RNAcentral